GACGAACGCUGGCGGCGUGCUUAACACAUGCAAGUCGAACGGAAAGGCCCUGCUUUUGUGGGGUGCUCGAGUGGCGAACGGGUGAGUAACACGUGAGUAACCUGCCCUUGACUUUGGGAUAACUUCAGGAAACUGGGGCUAAUACCGGAUAGGAGCUCCUGCUGCAUGGUGGGGGUUGGAAAGUUUCGGCGGUUGGGGAUGGACUCGCGGCUUAUCAGCUUGUUGGUGGGGUAGUGGCUUACCAAGGCUUUGACGGGUAGCCGGCCUGAGAGGGUGACCGGCCACAUUGGGACUGAGAUACGGCCCAGACUCCUACGGGAGGCAGCAGUGGAGAAUAUUGCACAGUGGGCGGAAGCCUGAUGCGACAACGCCGCGUGCGGGAUGACGGGCUUCGGGUUGUAAACCACUUUCGCCUGUGACGAAGCGUGAGUGACGGUAAUGGGUAAAGAAGCACCGGCUAACUACGUG
This 468-nucleotide ribosomal RNA is filed under the name uncultured bacterium. Its description in RNAcentral is "partial 16S ribosomal RNA". It matches the Rfam family "Bacterial small subunit ribosomal RNA", at positions 28 to 507 of the family's 1533-position model. The record is from RNAcentral.